GACGAACGCUGGCGGCGUGCCUAACACAUGCAAGUCGAACGGAACGUCCCUGCUUUUGUGCGCUGCUCGGGGGGCGACCGGGUGAGUAACCCGUAGGUAACCUGCCCCUGACAGUGGGUUAACUUCAGGCCACUGGGGCUAUUACGAGCUAGGAGUUCCUGCCGCUUGAUGGGCGUUGGAAAGAUUCGGCGGUUGGGGGUGGAAUCGCGUCUUAUGAGCUCGUUGGGUGGGUAGUGGGUGACCAUGGCUAUGACGGGUUGCAUGCCUGGGAGGAGCACCGGCCAAAUUGGGACUGAGAUACGACCCAGACUCCUACGGGAGGCAGCGGUGGGGAAUGGUGCACAGGAGGCGGAAGCCUGAUGCAGCAACGCAGCGUGCGGGAUGACGGCCAGCGGUUUGUAAACCGCUGUCGCCUUUGACGAAGCGUGAGUGACGGUAAUGGGUAAAGAAGCACCGGCUAACUACGUG
This 468-nucleotide ribosomal RNA is filed under the name uncultured bacterium. RNAcentral describes it as "partial 16S ribosomal RNA". It matches the Rfam family "Bacterial small subunit ribosomal RNA", at positions 28 to 507 of the family's 1533-position model. The record is from RNAcentral.